This 234-nucleotide unclassified non-coding RNA is filed under the name Cadophora sp. RNAcentral's name for it is "partial contains small subunit ribosomal RNA, internal transcribed spacer 1, and 5.8S ribosomal RNA". The stretch from base 1 to 46 matches the Rfam family "Eukaryotic small subunit ribosomal RNA", at positions 1786 to 1831 of the family's 1831-position model. Lineage: Eukaryota; Fungi; Ascomycota; Leotiomycetes; Helotiales; Ploettnerulaceae. The record is from RNAcentral.
AAGUCGUAACAAGGUUUCCGUAGGUGAACCUGCGGAAGGAUCAUUACAGAGUUCUUGCCCUUACGGGUAGAUCUCCCACCCUUGAUAUCUAUUCUCUUGUUGCUUUGGCGGGACGCAUCUUGCCACAGGCUUCGGCUUGUGAGUGCCCGCCAGAGACCCAACCAAAACCUGUUUAUGUGUCGUCUGAGUACUAUAUAAUAGUUAAAACUUUCAACAACGGAUCUCUUGGUUCUG